This 1989-nucleotide long non-coding RNA is filed under the name Theobroma cacao (cacao). Its description in RNAcentral is "long non-coding RNA (TCAC_LNC000484)". Lineage: Eukaryota; Viridiplantae; Streptophyta; Magnoliopsida; Malvales; Malvaceae. The record is from RNAcentral.
AAGAGGAAAGGAAAGAACACAAACCCUAGGUAGGAAAAUUGAAGAAAAAGUGUGGGAUUUCAAGGGAAUAAGCUAAUAAAGGUAAAAGCUUGUGAUUUUAUUUUGUGAUUUACACUACCCAUGCUUUCUUUUUCAUUUUCCAUGCUUAGAACUCAAGUUUGCAUGAUGAACCCAUGUUGGCCGAAUUUGAGAGGAGAGGUUUUGAGCAUUGAUUUUGCUAGAUUUCAAGCUAAUUAAGUGUUUUUGGUUGUUUGGUAAUGAAAAGUAUGAAAAUCUAGCAAGGAAUCACUUUGUUCUUCACAAACCCACAAGAGGCCUAAUUUUUCUAGGGAGGAUAUUGAGGCUGAAAUUGAUGAUAUUUCAUGAUAUUUUGGUGGUAUUUAAUGAUUGGUGAGACUAGAAAUUUAAUGGGAAAUUUUGGCAUGAAAAUUCGAAUUUUUACCUAAUGUAUAGACAUGUGCGAUUUAUGGUUCGAACUGAUAAAUUGAAUCAUAUUCAUAGUCAUUGAGGUAUUUUAAGUAUAAUUGGAGUGUAGAAAGUGAAAGAAAUCGAUUUGGAGUUAAAUUGGAGGUUUUAGCCAAUUACACCGAGAAUAGUGCGAAUUAGGUCAAAUACCGUAUUUAAACGGCUAUUCGGAUAUUUUACAUCACAUUUCGUGCAUUCAUAUAGAUCUAUAGAGCCUGAAAUAGUUUAUGAUAAAUUGACACAAUUUAUUAAAAUUCAUGUCACGUAUGAUGUAUAGGUUGUGAGCCCUCUAACAAGGGUAAAGAGAUUGUGCCCGAAGAUCGAGAAUAGGAAAUAUCGAACUCCUAGUACUGUGAGUAACCUUAUUAUCGUCUUAAUUAUCUAAAGUGGUUUUUAUCCAAUUUUGUGAAUUUCAUGAAAAAUGAAUGAAAUGAUUAAUUUUUUGGUUUUAUAAACCAAAUGUGAUUUAAUGAAAUGAUUUCAUAAAAUUGUUUUAAAAUUGAAUUAUGGCUUUGAAAAUAGAGUAAUUGGAGACCAUUUGAAGUAUUAUGAAUUUAUGGUUCUAAUUGAUUUGCUUAUGACAAAAUUGGCAUGAAUGGCUAAAUUGGUAUUUGUGUUGAAAUGUAUAAAUUGUCGUUUGCCUUGAUAGGCUGGAUAAUGAUAAAAUUACCAUGUUAUGCUGUUGAAUUUUUAUUGUAUGGUAGGUUUAGCUUGCUGCAAUGGGCUGGUUCUGUGGACUAGCCUAUUAGAGGGGCACGGAACCUGGUCAUAUUCUUACCUCGGUUGGAGAGGCGAGUAGGGUAACUCCCGAGGUAUAACUUUAGAGUUCACUUCAAACCAAACCACCUCGUGAUGAUGAACUCCGCUAACGCCAAAGAACGACUAUAUUUUUAAAAUAAAAACAUGAUUUAUGCGUACAUAACUUUUUAAUAGCCUUGGCGGACUCGGUUUGGGAUAACCUUUGGCCAAGGUAUCCCUGAUGACUGAGUAUGAUAAAGAUUUUGGCACGAGCCAAAGUUUUAAGAAAUUCAUAAGCCAUGUUAAUUACUCGAUUUAUAUGAAUUGAUUUUAUUUGGUUGAAACAAGUUGAAAGGUGAUGAAUUUCAAUAUGUUAAAAUAUUUUAUCUAUCUCCAUUUACUCGACUUUAGAUGGUUUAGAUGGUAUCUAUUUACUCACUAGGAUUUUAUAAUCUCACCACCUUCCUUUUCAACCAUUUCAGGCCCGACGUAGCUUGUAGAUAGCAGAUAUCGUUAAGGAUUAUAGUCGGCUUUACUACUCCAAAAACUGUAGGUUUACUGCCUUUGUGCACUUUUGUUCCUUGUGGGCCCACGAGUCACUAUAAAGUAAAUUUUAUAUCCUGGUUAUCUGUAUUAUAGUAUGUAUGAAUUUAUUUAGCUUUUAUAUUGCAAAAAAUUAUUUACCGAUGACUUUAUAAAUAUUGUUUUACAAGAAAUUAGAAUAUUUUAUUGAAUAUUUUUAUUUUAUUCAAAUAGUUGCAAUAUCAUUUUUAAUAAAUGUUUUAG